This 495-nucleotide ribosomal RNA is filed under the name uncultured bacterium. RNAcentral's name for it is "partial 16S ribosomal RNA". It matches the Rfam family "Bacterial small subunit ribosomal RNA", at positions 28 to 507 of the family's 1533-position model. The record is from RNAcentral.
GACGAACGCUGGCGGCGUGCCUAAUACAUGCAAGUAGAACGCUGAAGGAGGAGCUUGCUUCUCUGGAUGAGUUGCGAACGGGUGAGUAACGCGUAGGUAACCUGCCUGGUAGCGGGGGAUAACUAUUGGAAACGAUAGCUAAUACCGCAUAAGAGUAGAUGUCGCAUGACAUUUGCUUAAAAGGUGCAAUUGCAUCACUACCAGAUGGACCUGCGUUGUAUUAGCUAGUUGGUGAGGUAACGGCUCACCAAGGCAACGAUACAUAGCCGACCUGAGAGGGUGAUCGGCCACACUGAGACUGAGACACGGCCCAGACUCCUACGGGAGGCAGCAGUAGGGAAUCUUCGGCAAUGGACGGAAGUCUGACCGAGCAACGCCGCGUGAGUGAAGAAGGUUUUCGGAUCGUAAAGCUCUGUUGUAAGAGAAGAACGAGUGUGAGAGUGGAAAGUUCACACUGUGACGGUAUCUUACCAGAAAGGGACGGCUAACUACGUG